Non-coding RNA from Stegodyphus mimosarum, 71 nucleotides. The record is from Rfam. Lineage: Eukaryota; Metazoa; Arthropoda; Arachnida; Araneae; Eresidae.
GCUUUCGUGGUGUAACGGAAGCACACUCGACCCGUAUUCGAGAGGUCUAGGUUCGAGUCUGGACGAGGGCA